GAGGGACCGCGCUACCAUGCAGUCGACGGUGAAGCGGAGCUUGCUCUGCUGGAUCAGUGGCGAACGGGUGAGUAACACGUGAGCAAUCUGCCCCUGACUCUGGGAUAAGCGCUGGAAACGGCGUCUAAUACCGGAUACGAGCUGCGAAGGCAUCUUCAGCAGCUGGAAAGAAUUUCGGUCAGGGAUGAGCUCGCGGCCUAUCAGCUUGUUGGUGAGGUAACGGCUCACCAAGGCGUCGACGGGUAGCCGGCCUGAGAGGGUGACCGGCCACACUGGGACUGAGACACGGCCCAGACUCCUACGGGAGGCAGCAGUGGGGAAUAUUGCACAAUGGGCGAAAGCCUGAUGCAGCAACGCCGCGUGAGGGACGACGGCCUUCGGGUUGUAAACCUCUUUUAGCAGGGAAGAAGCGAAAGUGACGGUACCUGCAGAAAAAGCGCCGGCUAACUACGUGCCAGCAGCCGCGGUAAUACGUAGGGCGCAAGCGUUAUCCGGAAUUAUUGGGCGUAAAGAGCUCGUAGGCGGUUUGUCGCGUCUGCUGUGAAAACCCGAGGCUCAACCUCGGGCCUGCAGUGGGUACGGGCAGACUAGAGUGCGGUAGGGGAGAUUGGAAUUCCUGGUGUAGCGGUGGAAUGCGCAGAUAUCAGGAGGAACACCGAUGGCGAAGGCAGAUCUCUGGGCCGUAACUGACGCUGAGGAGCGAAAGGGUGGGGAGCAAACAGGCUUAGAUACCCUGGUAGUCCACCCCGUAAACGUUGGGAACUAGUUGUGGGGACCAUUCCACGGUUUCCGUGACGCAGCUAACGCAUUAAGUUCCCCGCCUGGGGAGUACGGCCGCAAGGCUAAAACUCAAAGGAAUUGACGGGGACCCGCACAAGCGGCGGAGCAUGCGGAUUAAUUCGAUGCAACGCGAAGAACCUUACCAAGGCUGACAUAUACGAGAACGGGUC
Molecule: ribosomal RNA, 950 nt
Filed under: Microbacterium schleiferi
Lineage: Bacteria; Bacillati; Actinomycetota; Actinomycetes; Micrococcales; Microbacteriaceae
Description: bacterial SSU rRNA
Rfam family: Bacterial small subunit ribosomal RNA
Source: RNAcentral